UGGGGUAUAGCUUAGUUGGUAGAGUGCUUGCCUCGAAUGCAUGAGGCCCUGGAUUCGAUCCCCAGCACUAUAU
This 73-nucleotide transfer RNA is filed under the name Neotoma lepida (desert woodrat). It matches the Rfam family "tRNA". Rfam says of the family: Transfer RNA (tRNA) molecules are approximately 80 nucleotides in length. Their secondary structure includes four short double-helical elements and three loops (D, anti-codon, and T loops). Further hydrogen bonds mediate the characteristic L-shaped molecular structure. tRNAs have two regions of fundamental functional importance: the anti-codon, which is responsible for specific mRNA codon recognition, and the 3' end, to which the tRNAs corresponding amino acid is attached (by aminoacyl-tRNA synthetases). tRNAs cope with the degeneracy of the genetic code in two manners: having more than one tRNA (with a specific anti-codon) for a particular amino acid; and 'wobble' base-pairing, i.e. permitting non-standard base-pairing at the 3rd anti-codon position. The record is from Rfam by way of RNAcentral. Lineage: Eukaryota; Metazoa; Chordata; Mammalia; Rodentia; Cricetidae.